GCAGGGAAGGUCUGGCAAAUCCUCCAAAAGAGUCACUCCAGCUUUGGCAAAUUUUUCCCCUUCAGUUCAGCAAAAAAGGGGGAAUUCUGCUUUUUUUUGCCUUCUGCUUUUUUAUUUUUAUUUUAUUUUUAUUUUUUUUUUGGUUUGGGGUGGAGAGGACACUUAAAGAACUCGACACCGUUUGAAGUUCAUUUUGUUCUGCAGAAAUCUUUGGAUUUGAUGUAACCAAACAACUCACAUAGCCCAAAGGGCGAAGUGGGAAGCAGACAGGGAGAAACUGAGCCAGACGUGGACAAAGGCAGGAGCCUUCAGCAGACAGCCCAGGUCGCUCUGGAGGCCAGCCCCGGAGGAGACAGGUACCUAAAUACAGCUGAUGUGCCCACCACCCAAGGCUCCAAAUCAGUUCUGAAAAGCUAACCCUUCCUUUUUGCAUUUGGGAUGUUUGCAAUGGUAGAUGUUUUGGAAGGCUGGGUUUUGUCUCCGAGCCUCUCAGAAGAAACUCAGGGGCAGGAAGAAGAUGGGCUGAGAACAGCAAAGCUGAUGGAGAUGGACUUGCCUCUUGUCAGUGCUUCUGGAAAUACUUCACCUGGCUAUCUGUCUCCUUCCUUUCCCCAUUUCUUCAAUUUUUUUUUGGCUAGUGGAAAUGGUGCCACAGAUGCCCAUGAAAAGAGACUUCCUGGCAACCAACAAGGAGAGCAGCACUAGCCGAAAUCCUACAUAGCAAAAUCAUCACAUGUUAAGAGUGAAAACCCUGCACAGAGCUGACACGUAGCCUGCCUAAAAGAAUCCAUCAAAAGCAACCAGGAGACUUACCCGUUCAUGAAG
Molecule: long non-coding RNA, 825 nt
Organism: Sceloporus undulatus (fence lizard)
Lineage: Eukaryota; Metazoa; Chordata; Lepidosauria; Squamata; Phrynosomatidae
Exons: 3
Source: RefSeq, a predicted model, not a curated record